GUAGCUUUCUGGCUUUACUUGCUAUGUGAUGGAGCAAAAUAGAUGGCAAACUUCACGUGUUUCGGUGACUUUGCUUUAAUUAAUGGCAUGUCGCGUUGUAAAGUCGACAACGGUUGUGUUCCAAAUGCAUUGAUGAAGAAUGCUUCGAUGUGUUGUUGAGGAAGAAACUUUCGAUAGGCCUCAACCACCACUGAAUCCCACAGAGUUAACUGACUUCUGUACGCCACAUGAGGAAGUGAAGGAUGACGCAUACACAGUGGCAUCACGAGCCUGACAGACCACCUGAAGACUGGUGCUGGACUAAAAUUCAGGUAUCCAUAUGAGCAGAGUCACACACAAGUUUGAAAUCAAGUGAAGCCAAAAAGCUUGAAUAUAAGGAGUUCAAGAAUCCACAUGAAGUUCUUCCGGUGAUGGAACGUGGUAUCUCCCCAAGAUGGAUGCACAAAUCAUCAUCCAAGUCUCCUGAAGCUUUGAAAUGCAGCUCAAGUACCCGCAACUAACUUUUCUUCUUUCAUUUUACGAUGAUUUAAGUUCUUUUAAGAUGAUUCAAGUUAUUUGUGGCUUUGUUUUUCAUGUCAGUAAAACUAUUAGGGCUUUUCAAGUUUUUAUUUUAAUUUUCAUGGUAUUGAGAUUGUUUCCUGUUUCUCAUUUUAAUUUUGUGUCAUCUCUGGAAAUUCAUUAUUGGUAUCGACGACUGAGGUUCUUGUGUUGUGACAACCCAAUGCCGGAAUAUCCAACUCCCAAGGAGGCUGAACAUCGUAGUGCAAGAUCCCACUACUUGCCAUAACUGGUCAGUCAAGUUGUGUUUACUGUUGCGACAAAAUCCAAUUCUAUUUAAGGCUUUGACUGUCAUCUUUGCUCUGAUUUCCGUUGCUUUCAUCUUCCAUUUCCGUUAGCUACUUUAUUUCCAAGUCUAACCAUGCAUUAGCUGUGGUGCUUACGAAUGCACAAACUCCUGCUUGCCAUUUUUUGAGAGACAAUACA
This is a long non-coding RNA of Synchiropus splendidus (mandarinfish), 984 nucleotides long. RefSeq lists it as uncharacterized. Lineage: Eukaryota; Metazoa; Chordata; Actinopteri; Syngnathiformes; Callionymidae. The transcript is spliced from 5 exons. The record is from RefSeq and is a predicted model, not a curated record.